RNAcentral lists this ribosomal RNA (440 nucleotides) under uncultured bacterium. Its description in RNAcentral is "partial 16S ribosomal RNA". It matches the Rfam family "Bacterial small subunit ribosomal RNA", at positions 338 to 795 of the family's 1533-position model. The record is from RNAcentral.
ACUACGGGAGGCAGCAGUGGGGAAUAUUGCACAAUGGGGGAAACCCUGAUGCAGCGACGCCGCGUGAGUGAAGAAGUAAUUCGUUAUGUAAAGCUCUAUCAGCAGGGAAGAAAAUGACGGUACCUGAGUAAGAAGCCCCGGCUAACUACGUGCCAGCAGCCGCGGUAAUACGUAGGUGGCAAGCGUUAUCCGGAUUUAUUGGGUGUAAAGGGCGUGUAGGCGGGAAAGCAAGUCAGAUGUGAAAACUCAGGGCUCAACCCCCGGACUGCUCUGGAAACUGUACGGCUGGAGUGCAGGAGAGGUAAGUGGAAUUCCUAGUGUAGCGGUGAAAUGCGUAGAUAUUAGGAGGAACACCAGUGGCGAAGGCGGCUUACUGGACUGUAACUGACGUUGAGGCUCGAAAGCGUGGGGAGCAAACAGGAUUAGAUACCCUGGUAGUC